GACGAACGCUGGCGGCGUGCUUAACACAUGCAAGUCGAACGGAAAGGCCCUGCUUUUGUGGGGUGCUCGAGUGGCGAACGGGUGAGUAACACGUGAGUAACCUGCCCUUGACUUUGGGAUAACUUCAGGAAACUGGGGCUAAUACCGGAUAGGAGCUCCUGCUGCAUGGUGGGGGUUGGAAAGUUUCGGCGGUUGGGGAUGGACUCGCGGCUUAUCAGCUUGUUGGUGGGGUAGUGGCAUACCAAGGCUUUGACGGGUAGCCGGCCUGAGAGGGUGACCGGCGACAUUGGGACUGAGAGACGGACCAGACUGGUACGUGAGGCAGCAGUGGGGAGUAUUGCACAAUGAGAGGAAGCGUGAUGAGGCGGCGUCGCGUGCGGAAUGACGGCCUGCGGGGUAUAAACCGCUUUCGCCUGAGACGAAGCGUGAGUGACGGUAAUGGGUGAAGAAGCACCGGCUAACUACGUG
This 468-nucleotide ribosomal RNA is filed under the name uncultured bacterium. Its description in RNAcentral is "partial 16S ribosomal RNA". It matches the Rfam family "Bacterial small subunit ribosomal RNA", at positions 28 to 507 of the family's 1533-position model. The record is from RNAcentral.